GAUGAACGCUGGCGGCGUGCCUAAUACAUGCAAGUCGAACGAAACUUCUUUAUCACCGAGUGCUUGCACUCACCGAUAAAGAGUUGAGUGGCGAACGGGUGAGUAACACGUGGGCAACCUGCCCAAAAGAGGGGGAUAACACUUGGAAACAGGUGCUAAUACCGCAUAACCAUAGUUACCGCAUGGUAACUAUGUAAAAGGUGGCUAUGCUACCGCUUUUGGAUGGGCCCGCGACGCAUUAGCUAGUUGGUGGGGUAAAGGCUUACCAAGGCAAUGAUGCGUAGCCGAACUGAGAGGUUGAUCGGCCACAUUGGGACUGAGACACGGCCCAAACUCCUACGGGAGGCAGCAGUAGGGAAUCUUCCACAAUGGGCGAAAGCCUGAUGGAGCAACGCCGCGUGGGUGAAGAAGGUCUUCGGAUCGUAAAACCCUGUUGUUAGAGAAGAAAGUGCGUGAGAGUAACUGUUCACGUUUCGACGGUAUCUAACCAGAAAGCCACGGCUAACUACGUGCCAGCAGCCGCGGUAAUACGUAGGUGGCAAGCGUUAUCCGGAUUUAUUGGGCGUAAAGAGAACGCAGGCGGUCUUUUAAGUCUGAUGUGAAAGCCUUCGGCUUAACCGGAGUAGUGCAUUGGAAACUGGGAGACUUGAGUGCAGAAGAGGAGAGUGGAACUCCAUGUGUAGCGGUGAAAUGCGUAGAUAUAUGGAAGAACACCAGUGGCGAAAGCGGCUCUCUGGUCUGUAACUGACGCUGAGGUUCGAAAGCGUGGGUAGCAAACAGGAUUAGAUACCCUGGUAGUCCACGCCGUAAACGAUGAAUGCUAAGUGUUGGAGGGUUUCCGCCCUUCAGUGCUGCAGCUAACGCAAUAAGCAUUCCGCCUGGGGAGUACGACCGCAAGGUUGAAACUCAAAGGAAUUGACGGGGGCCCGCACAAGCGGUGGAGCAUGUGGUUUAAUUCGAAGCAACGCGAAGAACCUUACCAGGUCUUGACAUCUUUUGACAAUCCUAGAGAUAGGACUUUCCCUUCGGGGACAAAAUGACAGGUGGUGCAUGGUUGUCGUCAGCUCGUGUCGUGAGAUGUUGGGUUAAGUCCCGCAACGAGCGCAACCCUUAUUGUUAGUUGCCAGCAUUAAGUUGGGCACUCUAGCAAGACUGCCGGUGACAAACCGGAGGAAGGUGGGGAUGACGUCAAAUCAUCAUGCCCCUUAUGACCUGGGCUACACACGUGCUACAAUGGACGGUACAACGAGUCGCAAGACCGCGAGGUUUAGCAAAUCUCUUAAAGCCGUUCUCAGUUCGGAUUGUAGGCUGCAACUCGCCUACAUGAAGUCGGAAUCGCUAGUAAUCGCGGAUCAGCAUGCCGCGGUGAAUACGUUCCCGGGCCUUGUACACACCGCCCGUCACACCAUGAGAGUUUGUAACACCCAAAGCCGGUGGGGUAACCUUUUGGAGCCAGCCGUCUAAGGUGGGACAGAUGAUUAGGGUGAAGUCGUAACAAGGUAGCCGUAGGAGAACCUGCGGCUGGAUCACCUCCUUUCUAAGGAUAAUUUCGGAAACCUGCACUUUUUAUCGUAAACUUUGUUUAGUUUUGAGAGGUUUACUCUUAAAACAUGGGGCUUUAGCUCAGCUGGGAGAGCGCCUGCUUUGCACGCAGGAGGUCAACGGUUCGAUCCCGUUAAGCUCCAUUGAUAACAAUAGUUAUCAAACUUGUUCUUUGAAAACUAGAUAAUAUCUUUUAUUUCUUUGUUAAUUAAAAUAACCGAGAACACCGCGUUUUAAAGAGUUUAAAACAUUUAAUGUUUGAUCGCUAAACUCAUAACCAUUAUCGUAAGAUAAUAUAGGUUAAGUUAUUAAGGGCGCAUGGUGGAUGCCUUGGCACUAGGAGCCGAUGAAGGACGUGACUAACUGCGAUAAGCUUCGGGGAGUUGUAAGUAAACUGUGAUCCGGAGAUUUCCGAAUGGGGAAACCCAGCAGGAGUAAAGACCUGUUAUCACUGAGUGAAUACAUAGCUCAGUUGAAGGUAGACGUGGGGAACUGAAACAUCUAAGUACCCAUAGGAAGAGAAAGAAAAUUCGAUUCCCUGAGUAGCGGCGAGCGAAAAGGGAAUAGCCCAAACCAGAGAGCUUGCUCUCUGGGGUUGUAGGACUGGACAUUUGAGUUACCAAGAAACGAAGUAGUUGAAUGAUUUGGGAAGAUCAGCCAGAGAAGGUGAUAGCCCUGUAAGCGAAACUUCGUUUCCUCAGCCCAGUAUCCUGAGUACGGCGGAACACGUGAAACUCCGUCGGAAUCCGGGAGGACCAUCUCCCAAGGCUAAAUACUCCCUAGUGACCGAUAGUGAACC
RNAcentral lists this ribosomal RNA (2341 nucleotides) under uncultured Lactobacillus sp. RNAcentral's name for it is "partial contains 16S ribosomal RNA, 16S-23S ribosomal RNA intergenic spacer, and 23S ribosomal RNA". The stretch from base 1 to 1537 matches the Rfam family "Bacterial small subunit ribosomal RNA". The record is from RNAcentral. Lineage: Bacteria; Bacillati; Bacillota; Bacilli; Lactobacillales; Lactobacillaceae.